RNAcentral lists this ribosomal RNA (373 nucleotides) under uncultured bacterium. Its description in RNAcentral is "bacterial SSU rRNA". It matches the Rfam family "Bacterial small subunit ribosomal RNA", at positions 29 to 387 of the family's 1533-position model. The record is from RNAcentral.
AGCGAACGUUAGCGGCGGGCCUAACACAUGCAAGUCGAGCGAGAAAGGGCUUCGGCCCUGAGUAAAGCGGCGGACGGGUGAGUACUACGUAGGUAACCUCCCUUCGAGCGGGGGACAACGGUCCGAAAGGACCGCUAAUACCGCAUACGUUCCCGAGGACUCCGGUCCACGGGAGGAAAGCUAGGGUAGCAAUACUCCGGCACUCGAAGCGGGGCCUACGCCGCAUCAGCUAGUUGGUGGGGUAAUGGCCUACCAAGGCAAAGACGCGUAGCUGGUCUGAGAGGAUGAUCAGCCACACUGGGACCUGAGACACGGCCCAGACUCCUACGGGAGGCAGCAGUGGGGAAUAUUGGACAAUGGGGGAAACCCUGAU